AUCACUUCUCAGCCGUUUGGUUAAGAUCACGUGUAGUAUCUGCUUUUAUCAACCUAA
RNAcentral lists this small nuclear RNA (57 nucleotides) under Cervus elaphus hippelaphus. It matches the Rfam family "U2 spliceosomal RNA", at positions 1 to 57 of the family's 192-position model. From Rfam's summary of the family: U2 is a small nuclear RNA (snRNA) component of the spliceosome (involved in pre-mRNA splicing). Complementary binding between U2 snRNA (in an area lying towards the 5' end but 3' to hairpin I) and the branchpoint sequence (BPS) of the intron results the bulging out of an unpaired adenosine, on the BPS, which initiates a nucleophilic attack at the intronic 5' splice site, thus starting the first of two transesterification reactions that mediate splicing. Lineage: Eukaryota; Metazoa; Chordata; Mammalia; Artiodactyla; Cervidae. The record is from RNAcentral.